AGGUUGAGAUUCCUGCACCCGUAAUGAACAGAACUGUAGUGACACGGAAGGUAAGACAGAGCCGGGAAUGAGAAAACCGGUGCAAGCACAAUAGAUGUGCGGGAGGAAAAACCCCCGUAUAAGUCGAAGGUGUGAUGCGGACCGAAAAAGAGUAGGGAAGCUGUUAAGCAAGCCGUCAAGAAAAGCUGCUAUUGUUUCAUUAUGGCCCGUACCGUAAACCGACACAGGUGGAUGGGGAGAGAAUCCUAAGGCCGGCGGAAGAAGUAUUGUUAAGGAACUCGGCAAAAUGACCCCGUAACUUCGGGAGAAGGGGUGCCUGCGAGAGCAGGCCGCAGAGAAGGGGCCCAAGCAACUGUUUAGCAAAAACACAGGUCUAUGCAAAACCGAAAGGUGAGGUAUAUGGGCUGACGCCUGCCCGGUGCUGGAAGGUUAAGGGGAGUGGUCAGGAAACGAAGCCACGAACAUAAGCCCCAGUAAACGGCGGCCGUAACCAUAACGGUCCUAAGGUAGCGAAAUUCCUUGUCGGGUAAGUUCCGACCCGCACGUAAGGCGUAAUGAUUUGGGCGCUGUCUCGACAAUACAUCCGGUGAAAUUGAAGUGCCAGUGAAGAUGCUGGCUACCUGCGCCAGGACGGAAAGACCCCAUGGAGCUUUACUCCAGCUUGAUACUGGGACCCGGUAUUGCAUGUACAGGAUAGGUGGGAGGCUAGGAAAUGUGGACGCCAGUCUGCAUGGAGCCGCUGUUGGGAUACCACCCUUGUGGUGCUGGGUUUCUAACCAGAGGCCGUGAACCGGUCUGGGGACAAUGUCAGGUGGGGAGUUUGACUGGGGCGGUCGCCUCCGAAAGGGUAUCGGAGGCGCCCAAAGGUUCCCUCAGAAUGGUUGGAAACCAUUCGAAGAGUGCAAAGGCAGAAGGGAGCUUGACUGCGACACCGACGGGUGGAGCAGGUACGAAAGUAGGGCUUAGUGAUCCGGUGGAAUUUAAGUGGGAAUGCCAUCGCUCAACGGAUAAAAGCUACCCUGGGAUAACAGGCUGAUCACUCCCAAGAGUUCACAUCGACGGAGUGGUUUGGCACCUCGAUGUCGGCUCAUCGCAUCCUGGGGCUGAAGUCGGUCCCAAGGGUUGGGCUGUUCGCCCAUUAAAGCGGUACGCGAGCUGGGUUCAGAACGUCGUGAGACAGUUCGGUCCCUAUCCGGCGUGGGCGUAGGAUAUCUGAGAGGAACUGUCCUUAGUACGAGAGGACCGGGAUGGACUGACCUCUGGUGUACCGGUUGGCGAUCAACGCCACGGCCGGGUAGCCAUGUCGGGACGGGAUAAACGCUGAAGGCAUCUAAGCGUGAAGCCCCCCUCAAGAUGAGAUAUCCCAUUCGAAAGAAGUAAGACCCAUGAAGACGACGAGGUUGAUAGGGCAGGGGUGGAAGUGCUGUAAGGCAUGGAGCUGACUGCUACUAAUCGGUCGAGGGCUUGACC
Molecule: ribosomal RNA, 1470 nt
Filed under: metagenome
Description: bacterial LSU rRNA
Rfam family: Bacterial large subunit ribosomal RNA
Source: RNAcentral